This is a long non-coding RNA of Chelonia mydas (Green sea turtle), 1019 nucleotides long. RefSeq lists it as uncharacterized. The record is from RefSeq and is a predicted model, not a curated record. Lineage: Eukaryota; Metazoa; Chordata; Testudines; Cheloniidae. The transcript has 3 exons.
GAAUUAAACAGUGCCAGCAAGUUAGUCUUUCUACAAAUGGAAUAAGUCCAUGCUGCUAAUCAAUUUUGAUGCCUGUCUCUGAACCUCUGCUAUUUCUGCUAUACCUUCUUUGGGAUCAGAUGACCAGAAGUGAAUGCACUCUAUUCCAGUGUUGCAGGACCCAGGAAGAGAGAGACACUGUGGAUUGUGAAUCACAAUACCUUUUCCCCAACACCAUUCACUCAGUCAUACACCUUCAUUCUGGUGACUUUACAGCAACCUUAGCUGAGAUGGAGCUGAGACAGUCAACAUUGUAUGGCAUAACAGCUGAAAUCAAAGACAUUGACUUAUUGACAUAACUCCCAGUUCAAACCAAGAUGCUGGAUUCACUUGAAUUUGAGCAGAAGAUUGGCAAGUGGGAAAAUUCUUUAUGUGACACAGUUUAAGGGAAGUGACAUAGUUUAAGGGGGAGAAUUCUUCUCUUUACCAAAAGUUUAUAGAGGGUCUCAGUUGCUUUUUAUUCCACACCUGACUCUUUAGGUGGCUGGCAACUAAUUUGCUCCCCUCUCCCAUUUCUUCAGAAGAGCAUUUCAUAUGUCCCAAAUAUUAGGUGACUUCUCAGGGGAAGAGGCCCGUUUGCCUCUCUCCCAUUCUCCAUCAGUACACUUUACAAAUGCUGCACCAGAUCAGGCUUCUGCUGACGCUUUAAUGACUUGACAGAGCUCCAAGGUUAAGAUACCACACAGGGCAUCUUUAUUCUCAAGUACUGCUGGGAUUUAAGUUAUCAAAAGGUCAGCAAUAGGGGUGGAGCAUUUGCAGAUCCUGCAUCUGAGAAAAAAAGGAUCCAGAUUAUUGGCCUUUGAAAAAAACAAGAGGGAGUUAAGACAAUGGGCCUACACCUUAAUACAGCUUCAGAUCAUAGCUGUGCACGAUGGCUAGGGUGACCAUACAUUCAGUUUUGGCUGGGACAGUGCCUUUUUUAAGCCCUGUCCUGGCCAUCCAACUUUUUUUUUCAACAGGAGGCAUUUGUUUCAUUUGCU